This is a long non-coding RNA of Magallana angulata, 562 nucleotides long. RefSeq lists it as uncharacterized. Lineage: Eukaryota; Metazoa; Mollusca; Bivalvia; Ostreida; Ostreidae. The record is from RefSeq and is a predicted model, not a curated record. The transcript is spliced from 3 exons.
GUAUAGAUAAACUGGUAGAGUUUUAUGGAAGUCCCAAGGAUGAUGAAUUCCAAGGACAUCGGAUACAAGUUCGAGCCCAGUUCAAUGAAGUGAAUAUGAGAACAGAGCUUGAAACUUUUAAAAGACAUCUGUUCAUGCUGAGCCCUUUUGUCUUUUUCCCUGAGUUUUGUUGCUGUGUUAUUAGACAGAUAGCAGAAAUAACCAAUUCAAUGUUGAAGGAGAAGAGGUUGCAGCUCAGUACAUGGUGUAUACAAAGAAUUUUGUAAGGAUGAUGUGUUGAAGGAGUGUUUUCCAGUAGUCUUUCACCUGUACUAUCUUGCCAUGAUCAUUCCUUCUUCUACAGCAGUGGUGGAGAGGGGCUUUUCUUUAAUGUCAAAUAUUGUUUCAAAGAAAAGAAACAGACUUACUGAAAAAAAUACAGAUGCGCUUAUGCGCAUUUGUCACACAAACAAAGAUUUGACUGACAAUGAUUUGGAAACUAUUGUAACCAACUUUAAAGGCCUUAAAAAAAGGAAGCUUGAUAUGUAAUUUAAAAAUAAAAAAAGAAAGCAUCAUAUUUGUA